UGACGAGUGGUGGCCGAAUCAGGGGGACAUCAAGGGACGUUCAGGCAGGGACCAUGGCGGACGGCGGCUCGGAGCCGGCUGAUGGGCGCAUCGUCUAGAUGGAGGUGGACUACAGCGCCACGGUGGAUCAACGACUGCCCGAGUGCGAGAAGUUGGCCAAGGAAGGAAGACUUCAAGAAGUCAUUGAAAUCCUUCUCUCUUUGGAGAAACAGACCCGCACUGCUUCUGAUAUGGUGUCUACAUCCCGCAUCUUAGUUGCAGUAGUGAAGAUGUGCUAUGAGGCUAAAGAAUGGGAUUUACUUAAUGAAAAUAUUAUGCUUUUGUCAAAAAGAUGGAGUCAGUUAAAACAAGCUGUUGCAAAAAUGGUUCAACAGUGCUGUACUUACGUUGAGGAAAUCACAGACCUUCCAAUCAAACUUCGAUUAAUUGAUACCCUACGAAUGGUUACAGAAGGAAAGAUUUAUGUUGAAAUUGAGCGUGCUCGACUGACGAAAACGUUAGCAACUAUAAAAGAGCAAAACGGUGACGUGAAAGAGGCCGCCUCCAUUUUACAGGAGUUACAGGUGGAAACCUACGGGUCAAUGGAAAAGAAGGAGAGAGUGGAGUUUAUCUUGGAGCAAAUGAGGCUCUGCCUAGCUGUGAAGGAUUACAUUCGUACACAAAUCAUCAGCAAGAAAAUUAACACCAAAUUUUUCCAGGAAGAAAAUACAGAGAAAUUAAAAUUGAAAUAUUAUAACUUAAUGAUUCAGGUGGAUCAACAUGAGGGAUCUUAUUUGUCUAUUUGUAAGCACUACAGAGCAAUAUAUGAUACUCCCUGUAUACAGGCAGAAAGUGAAAAGUGGCAACAGGCUCUGAAAAGUGUCGUCCUCUAUGUGAUUUUGGCUCCUUUUGACAACGAACAGUCAGAUUUGGUUCACCGAAUAAGUGGUGACAAGAAGUUAGAAGAAAUUCCUAAAUACAAGGAUCUUUUAAAGCUUUUUACCACAAUGGAGCUGAUGCGUUGGUCCACACUUGUUGAAGACUAUGGAAUGGAAUUAAGAAAAGGGUCUCUUGAGAGUCCGGCAACUGAUGUUUUUGGUUCUACAGAGGAAGGUGAAAGAAGGUGGAAAGACUUGAAGAACAGAGUUGUUGAACAUAAUAUUAGAAUAAUGGCCAAGUAUUACACAAGGAUAACAAUGCAGAGGAUGGCUCAGCUUCUCAACUUGUCUGUCGAUGAGUCAGAAGCUUUUCUUUCGAAUCUAGUAGUUAACAAGACCAUCUUUGCUAAAGUAGACAGGUUGGCAGGAAUUAUCAACUUCCAGAGAUCCAAGGAUCCAAAUAAUUUAUUAAAUGACUGGUCUCAGAAACUGAACUCACUGAUGUCUCUAGUUAACAAAACUACACACCUCAUAGCCAAAGAGGAGAUGAUACAUAAUCUACAAUAAGGGUCUCAAUGCCCCUAAUGCUUUUAGAAAAGAGUUAAAAUUGGAAGUCAUAAAAAAAAAAAGACUGUUAUGGUGUAAAUGUUGGGUUUGUUUGUUUGUGUUUUCUAUAUUCUCAGCUCCUUUGUCUAAAAUUUAAAAGAUAGUGAAUAUGUUUAAGGCCCCUUUUGACCUUUCAGCUCCCUGAUUUUAUCGUUAACUUUGCAUUUGCAAUUGGUGCAAAAAAAAAAAAUACAUUUCUAUUGUCUACAUACUCAAAAAAUUGUGUCAUAACUUACCCAAAUGUGUUUUUCUGUCAUUUGAAAACUUUUUAGCUGUUAUUUGUUCUCAUUCAGCUAACGACCAUAAUUAUAAUAAUAAACGUAUAUGCACAUUGACUUUCUAUAAAAA
Molecule: non-coding RNA, 1811 nt
Organism: Callorhinus ursinus (northern fur seal)
Lineage: Eukaryota; Metazoa; Chordata; Mammalia; Carnivora; Otariidae
Source: RefSeq, a predicted model, not a curated record